Molecule: transfer RNA, 76 nt
Filed under: bacterium
Lineage: Bacteria
Also listed under: 4 other names
Description: tRNA-Thr
Rfam family: tRNA
About the family: Transfer RNA (tRNA) molecules are approximately 80 nucleotides in length. Their secondary structure includes four short double-helical elements and three loops (D, anti-codon, and T loops).
Source: RNAcentral
GCCGACGUAGCUCAGCCGGUAGAGCAACGGUUUCGUAAACCGUAGGUCGGGGGUUCGAAUCCCCCUGUCGGCUCCA